GAUGAACGCUGGCGGCGUGCCUAAUACAUGCAAGUCGAGCGAACAGACGAGGAGCUUGCUCCUCUGACGUUAGCGGCGGACGGGUGAGUAACACGUGGAUAACCUACCUAUAAGACUGGGAUAACUUCGGGAAACCGGAGCUAAUACCGGAUAAUAUAUUGAACCCCAUGGUUCAAUAGUGAAAGACGGUUUUGCUGUCACUUAUAGAUGGAUCCGCGCUGCAUUAGCUAGUUGGUAAGGUAACGGCUUACCAAGGCAACGAUGCGUAGCCGACCUGAGAGGGUGAUCGGCCACACUGGAACUGAGACACGGUCCAGACUCCUACGGGAGGCAGCAGUAGGGAAUCUUCCGCAAUGGGCGAAAGCCUGACGGAGCAACGCCGCGUGAGUGAUGAAGGUCUUCGGAUCGUAAAACUCUGUUAUUAGGGAAGAACAGAUGUGUAAGUAACUAUGCACGUCUUGACGGUACCUAAUCAGAAAGCCACGGCUAACUACGUG
Molecule: ribosomal RNA, 497 nt
Filed under: uncultured bacterium
Lineage: Bacteria
Description: partial 16S ribosomal RNA
Rfam family: Bacterial small subunit ribosomal RNA
Source: RNAcentral